GAAAAAUGUAUACAAGGAGUUUUAGAGCGAGGAUAGAUUAUUUUAAAUCAACCCUGUUAGCCCAGGGCAGUUGUGUAGUUAAGAUUCUGAAAUGGCACAAAGCAGAUCAAAUAUGCUAUCUAAACAGUUUACUGUUUCUGUACAGGUGUGAUGACCAGCUCAGUGACUUUUCUUGGACUUCUGUGACUAGACGGAGGGGGUCGAUCAUGGACACUUCUUAGAUAAUGUCUCUUUUAACCUUUUAACUUAUGUUGAUCUCUAAAAUGUUUUAAAAUGCCAUGUAGAAAAAUGUGUAAAAUAUUUGUACAACUGAACUGUCACUGGCUGGAGUUUUUCACUGUUUUUAAGAUGAUCUUUUGUUUUAACCGGUCAAUUUUUAUUUGUUUUGGGGUUUUUUUAUAAAAAUGGGGGGCCUUUGCAUCUAUGUUUCUUCUUUUAGGAAAGAAAUGGACACUAUUCUUUUAUUUCUGUUUGUUAGGUACUUGUGCCUUUGCAUGCUUUAGUUGCUGUGUUUUUGUUUUUGUAGACAAAAAUGUAAUAGAUGUAUUCACAUGUAAGAGUUGACCCCUGGCCCUCCAAAUAUCACAGUACUUGGUUUCAAGUAUUGUCUAUGACUCUGAAUUUGAUUUUAUGGAAGUUAUUGAAUAGGCCAAUUUUUGACCAACUUGCUCUCAAUAGACCAAUUCACUCUGACACGGACAUACUGUGAGAGGUGUGUGUCUGCUUGCAUGAAUGUGUGAGUGCCUUUAUAGUCGGUGUGUACAUAUGUAUGUACGCAUAUGCAGCUUGGUGUGUAUGACUGAAUGCAUGUGGAUAUAGAAAAACAAAGGGACUUCUUUUCAUACUUUUUUGCAGUCUGUUUUUCUGGACAGCGACUUUUUAUUUAAUGCAGCGUUGUCAUUCGGGAUUCUGUUGCAGAGGUUAACAUUCCAAAAUCAUAAUUUUUUUUAGACAAACUUUGGAAAGAGAAUUACAACUACAGCUUUGUACCUAACGACAGGACCAUAGAUCAAGUACAUGGAUGGACAAAGGGAUGUGGGUUUGUGGAAGUGCACUGUUAUGAUGUUGCAGAUAUGAUUCAUAAUGGUUUCAGGUUACAUAUCCCCCUAAACCCUCCCCCCCACCCCCAUUUCCAUUGCAGGGGGGAUAGUAGUGGACUAAUUUCCAUUAUUUUGCUAAUAAAAGAGUUGCUGUGGUGAAGCCAUGGCAUCCAAUUCCUU
This is a long non-coding RNA of Esox lucius (northern pike), 1220 nucleotides long. Lineage: Eukaryota; Metazoa; Chordata; Actinopteri; Esociformes; Esocidae. The record is from Ensembl.